Molecule: long non-coding RNA, 218 nt
Organism: Ornithodoros turicata
Lineage: Eukaryota; Metazoa; Arthropoda; Arachnida; Ixodida; Argasidae
Exons: 5
Source: RefSeq, a predicted model, not a curated record
GGUGUUCCACAGGGACCUGUAGAAGUGGGAGUGCCCACACCUGACAAAGUGUACUGCAUAUCUGGUGGCAGCAGUGAGAUGUCCUCUAUGCUUACAGCUGCGUUUUUGUAAGCAUCCUGGGCCACAUAGUGCUUUCUGUGGGAGUGACGUGAACGCGACUUCAGGCUCGACUGGGUCUUCGUCAGUAACUGUGCCUGACCCACGACGCGGUGGUCGAC